This 235-nucleotide ribosomal RNA is filed under the name uncultured bacterium. RNAcentral describes it as "partial 16S ribosomal RNA". It matches the Rfam family "Bacterial small subunit ribosomal RNA", at positions 118 to 347 of the family's 1533-position model. The record is from RNAcentral.
UGAGGAACAUGACCUUCGGCGGGGGAUAGCCGGCCCAACGGCCGGGUAAUACCGCGUACGACCACAUGGGGACAUCCCUGAGUGGUGAAAGCAGCAAUGCGCCGAUGGAGUGCCUCGCGGCCUAUCAGCUAGUUGGUGAGGUAACGGCUCACCAAGGCGACGACGGGUAGCUGGUCUGAGAGGAUGGCCAGCCACAGUUGGGACUGAGACACCGGCCCAGACCUGUACCGGGGAG